This 468-nucleotide ribosomal RNA is filed under the name uncultured bacterium. Its description in RNAcentral is "partial 16S ribosomal RNA". It matches the Rfam family "Bacterial small subunit ribosomal RNA", at positions 28 to 507 of the family's 1533-position model. The record is from RNAcentral.
GACGAACGCUGGCGGCGUGCUUAACACAUGCAAGUCGAACGGAAAGGCCCUGCUUUUGUGGGGUGCUCGAGUGGCGAACGGGUGAGUAACACGUGAGUAACCUGCCCUUGACUUUGGGAUAACUUCAGGAAACUGGGGCUAAUACCGGAUAGGAGCUCCUGCUGCAUGGUGGGGGUUGGAAAGUUUCGGCGGUUGGGGAUGGACUCGCGGCUUAUCAGCUUGUCGGUGGGGUAGUGGCAUACGAAGGCUUUGACAGGUAGCCGGCCUGAGAGGGUGACCGGCCACAUUGGGACUGAGCUACGGCCCAGACUCCUACGGGAGGCAGGAGUGGGGAAUAUUGCACAAUGGGCGGAAGGCUGAUGCAGCAACGCCGCGUGCGGGAUGACGGCCUUCGGGUUGUAAACCGCUUUCGCCUGUGACGAAGCGUGAGUGACGGUAAUGGGUAAAGAAGCACCGGCUAACUACGUG